UUAUCAUUGCCACAACGCCAGAUGUACAUGUUUAUCGAAAGAUAAAUGUUGCAAACCAGCCUGAGAAAUCAAGUGGCAGCGCAGUUCUCAGAGGUGUUGUGAAGAUAGAAUGGACAAGAGAGUAACAUGUGAUGUCUUGAACAAUUUACGAUCUCCAGGAGUGAAAGGGAUGCCAGGUUCAAUGUAUGCAGAUUUUAAAAAUGACGUCCGGAUAUUUUUAAAGAAAUUGCCAGAAAAUAUCUAAGGUAUUUGCCUGGCCAACCUUUGGGGAAAAGUGGUUAUGAAGCCAGAGAGCCACCACCAAUAAGCCCUCUGUCUAGUGGCAGCUCCAUGGAUUUCCUGAGAAGAUGGAACAACUAGGAGAACUCCACCCAAAGAUCUUAACUGGUGAGCAAGACUACACAGGACAAGGCAAUCCAUCAGAUAUUUAUGACACAAAUCAUUAAGAGCUUUAUAGAGACAAUUUUUGUAUAAUUUGUUUCCUUAUAAUAUAGUUUUAUUGUCCUACAAUUUCCAUCGGCCUUGACCAUUGUGCAGGGAAAAUUUAACUAAUAACUGAAAACUAAUAAAAGACUUCACAUUCCCAGUCUCUACACCAAAAUUUGGGAGACUGCCCUGUCUGAUUUCUCCAACUAAGAAAGAUGUAUGGUAGCCAUAUGUGAGAGAGCGAAAGAUUUGAAAGAGCACAUGAGUGUUACAUGGCUAUAUUAUAGAGAUUUCCCAACACAUGUGCCUCUGAUGUUUCAGCAGAUGUAUGAAUAUACAAAAACAGAUCUACUACAUACAACGGGGAAUCUCAGCUGGCCAACCGUGAUCCCUCGUUAUCGGCAAGUUCUGUGUGCAGACAACAAAUCUCUUACAGCUUUCACAGAAGAAAACGUGGAGGGGAAAAAACCGCUUGGCAUGAUCUUGGCCAAAAGAGCAGAAUCCUUAAUUAACGUGUGUCUCCUUGAAAGAUGCCUUCCUCUCAAAACAAACCACAUGUUGGUCUGAUGUCAUCCCAGUUCAUGGAAAGAAAAUGCCUUUCCCAGUUGUCAGUAUGCCUCUCCCACUGUGAACCACAAUUCACCUUCACCUGCAUCCCAGGUAGGUCAAUUAAAGGAAUGACACUCUUUUGUUUAAAUUUUUCAGAACACAUUGGAGUAUCUGUAAUAGACUGGAAAAUGCACUCUGAUUGAC
Molecule: long non-coding RNA, 1179 nt
Filed under: Salvator merianae (Argentine black and white tegu)
Lineage: Eukaryota; Metazoa; Chordata; Lepidosauria; Squamata; Teiidae
Description: lncRNA (ENSSMRG00000000426.1)
Source: RNAcentral